CCUACGGGAGACAGCAGUGGGGAAUAUUGGGCAAUGGGCGAAAGUCUGAACCAGCCAAGUAGCGUGAAGGAUGACUGCCCUAUGGGUUGUAAACCUCUUUUAUGUGGGAAUAAAAUGUUCUACGUGUAGGGGUAGUUAUGGACCAUAUCAAUAAAGAUUGGGCAACUCCGUGCCAGCAGCCGCGGGUAUACGGAGGAAUCGAGCGUUAUACGGAUUUAUUGGGUUUAAAGGGAGCGUAGGUGGUUUGUUAAGUCAGUUGUGAAAGUUUGCGGCUCAACCGUAGAAUUGCAGUUGAAACUGGCAAUCUUGAGUACAGUAGAGGUGAGCGGAAUUCGUGGUGUAGCGGUGAAAUGCUUAGAUAUCACGAAGAACUCCGAUUGCGAAGGCAGCUUACUGGACUGCAACUGACACUGAGGCUCGAAAGUGUGGGUAUCAAACAGGAUUAGAUACCCUAGUAGUC
Molecule: ribosomal RNA, 460 nt
Filed under: uncultured bacterium
Lineage: Bacteria
Description: partial 16S ribosomal RNA
Rfam family: Bacterial small subunit ribosomal RNA
Source: RNAcentral